Molecule: long non-coding RNA, 1692 nt
Organism: Silurus meridionalis
Lineage: Eukaryota; Metazoa; Chordata; Actinopteri; Siluriformes; Siluridae
Exons: 3
Source: RefSeq, a predicted model, not a curated record
ACCAGGUGAUGACCAGUGCUUGGUUACGUCAUGUCAGGAUGAAACCAAGCACUGGUCAUCACCUGGCUGCAGAGAUGUGUGUGUCAGGUGUGUGUCUUUCCAAAUCAUGUCAAAUCAACUGACUUUAUCACAGGUGGACUUCAAUCAAGUUGUAGAAACAUCUAAAGGAUGUUUAGUUGAAACAGGAUGCACCUGAGCUCAAUUUUAAAUGUGUCACGGCAAAGAUGGUGAAUACUUAUGUACAUGUGAUUCUUUGUUCAUUUUUAUAUUUUGAAUACAUUUGCAAAGAUUAAAAAAAAAAACUCUUUCAUGUUGUCCAUAUUAGGGAUUGAUUGUAGAAUUUUGAGGAAAUUAAUAGAUUCAAUCAAUUUUGGAAUGGGGCUGUAACAUCACAAUGUGAAAAAAAGUGAAGCGCUGUAAAUACUUUCCGGAUGCACUGUACAUAUAGUUUUGUGAUUUGUUAAUAAAAUAUGUAAUGUGAGUGCUUUAUAGCACCAGAACACCAGCUGAACUCAUCCAUGAACACAUUGAUAUGGAAAAACCGGGGAAAACCAUGCAAGAUCACUACUCGUACAAGCAGCAGCAGGGUCAGAGCGAAAGUGUUCACCUGGCUGAAAGAACAGAGGGACACACACAUCCAUCAGCAGAGCAAUACCCACUUCCUGCUAGAGAGAGCCGUGUCGCCCGGCGGGUAUCAGGUUCUGUUCUGGUGACGCCUCAUGACCUCAGACGCUGACCCCUGAGGCCUUCGUUUCCUCUGAGGAGAAAAAAGAAAGAAAAACCCUUGAAACAAUACAGCAUUUUAACAUGUUUAACUUAAAUUGAGCAUUUUAUACAAAACAUGACAAUUAGUAAACAUAGACAGUCCAAAUUUCAAUAUUAUUUAAUGUACAAUCGAAUCAAAUUAAUCCGAGUAUGUAUUUUUUCUAUUACAAAUGAAUGGACUUUUGUGUAAUUAAACAGAUAAUAGUUUACUACUAAAAAUAACUGUUUAAUUUUUAUUUAUUUAAUAACAAAAGAUCAUAUUAUUGAUCCAUUUAUAGUCACAUUUAGUGCUGUGAAUUGUCCACAAAAUCUCAGUGUGCUUUUAGAGCAGCUAUAAUCUGGUCGUUCUUCUACCAGCAUCUCUCUUUUUUCUCUUUUAAUUUUAAUAAGCAGAAAAAUAGCAGCGAGUCCUGUUACAAAGAAAGCCAAAAGCAGAUUUGGAGGUCAUUAAGACUUUCCAAUGUCAAAAUAUUAAAAGUUACAGCAUUACUUUUAACAUUUAUUUUCACAAUAGUUAACAAUAACAAUUACAUUAAUAACUAUAGUCAUGACUCAAUCAUUAUUUGUUAAGCCAUAAUUAACUAAUGAUUAAUGAGAUUCCAUUAUUUAUAAAUAAUACAAAUUAUAUAGAAACAUUUGCUGUUACUGAAUAGCAUUGUGAAGCAAUCAAAACUGUUGUAAUGUAUUAUUGGGUCACAUAUUGGUCUUAUGAUUCAUUGCAUGAUUUUAUAGUAACUAAUAGGAAAGGUAUGUACUGAGAAGAGUGAGGAAUACAAGUCUGGACUACUGAAAAGUUUUAGAAGUUUGGAAGGAGGUAACACUGAGUGUACAUGCUACCAUUGAUAUGCAAUAUAUAGUAUUACAAAACUUUUAUAAAACAAAAAUGAACAUGUAUAAGAUUCUUUUCAUUUGAUGGUCAACAUAAUU